RNAcentral lists this ribosomal RNA (485 nucleotides) under uncultured bacterium. Its description in RNAcentral is "partial 16S ribosomal RNA". It matches the Rfam family "Bacterial small subunit ribosomal RNA", at positions 899 to 1397 of the family's 1533-position model. The record is from RNAcentral.
ACUCAAAUGAAUUGACGGGGACCCGCACAAGCAGAGGAGGAUGUGGUUUAAUAUGACGCUACGCGUAGAACCUUACCGAGGCUUGACAUCCCUGGGACCCGCUGGAAACAGUGGGGUGCCUUCGGGAGCCAGGUGACAGGUGCUGCAUGGCCGUCGUCAGCUCGUGUCGUGAGAUGUUGGGUUAAGUCCCGCAACGAGCGCAACCCUUAUCGUAUGUUGUAUUUUUCAUGCGAGACUGCCCGGGCCAACCGGGAGGAAGGUGGGGAUGACGUCAGGUCGGCAUGGCCCUUACGCCUCGGGCCACACACGUCCUACAAUGGCCGGUACAACGCGCCGCAAACCCGCGAGGGGGAGCUAAUCGCAUCAAAACCGGUCUCAGUUCGGAUUGGAGGCUGCAACUCGCCUCCAUGAAGUCGGAUUUGCUAGUAAACGUGGGUCAGCACACCGCGUUGAAUACGUUCCCGGGUCUUGUACACACCGCCCGU